Molecule: long non-coding RNA, 1782 nt
Organism: Corythoichthys intestinalis (scribbled pipefish)
Lineage: Eukaryota; Metazoa; Chordata; Actinopteri; Syngnathiformes; Syngnathidae
Exons: 7
Source: RefSeq, a predicted model, not a curated record
CGCUACUGUCGUACAGUCACUCGACCGCUGCUCAGCUGUUGUCUUCGAAAAACUUGACAAAAGUUGAUCAAAUCCCUGCCACAGAAUCAGUUUGUGCUGGUUUCUGUACCAGCACGACCAGCGCCAGAACACAACAAAUCCAGCUGAGCCUUGGUGGAUUUGUUUUGCGUUUUGGUAAUUGUCUCUGCUGGUGCAGAACCAGCAGAUGCACAGAUGGAGGACAAGGACAGCAUCUUUCCACCUGUCUCCUACAACCAAUCUCCAUUAAGAAUGCAUCAUGGCGUAUGGAGGAAAACGGCAGCAUAUUUCCACCUGUCUUCUUCAGUCUUUUUCCUUGAAGACAUCAUAAAGUGAGUGUUGGCGCAAGAGCAGAUUGAGCACAUCCAUGUGCCAGCCUCAAGUAAAAGCGAGUGUCCGUCUCCAUAGACGCCGAGCUUGAUGUCAUGGCAGCAAUCCAGGAAAUGUUGAGCUUGUAGUUUGAUCAACAUAUAUCAAUUGGUAACUGAUAUCUGUUCUUUCAAUAGGACGGGUGAUAUUUUGACCCUACAUAGUGGAUAUUCUCUGCAGUUGACCUGAGUGUCAUCAGAUGUUGGAAGACUAGAAGAGUCACCGAGAGCACAGCCUGAUUGAGAACCUAUCGACGGGAAGUUUCCUAAACUGUCCACGUUGGAUGUACGAAGAGCUUCUGAUGCCUACUCCACCAACUGUCAUCGUAAGGAAGGAUGACGCCUGCCUGCCACUCAUUGGACAAUCAUUUUGAAGGAGUGGAAUCAAGUGCAAAUGGUAUUCUAAGUCUAAUGUACAAUUCAUCCAGAGUGGUCUGUAGCAGAUUGAGCACGUCACAGCAGGUGAAGCAAGCAUUCGUCUGCACGGGCCGAGCACAACGGCCUGAUCGGUCAAACUUUACUACGGACGGGUGCGACGUCACGGCAACCAAUCCAAGAAAUGUUGACUUUGUACUGUGGUCAUGUCAUCAAACAUUGUAUAUAAAUUAUUGUCAGCCGUAUUUAUUUCAAUAGGAUGGGUGAUAUUUUGAGACUAAGAUCAGCAGUUCCACGACCUUGCAAAGCCUGAAAAGGGGAUGUUCUCAGUAGUAAGAGGCCACUCAACCAUAUUGCAUAACUGCAUAUUUUAACAACUGCCAUUGUAAAUAUGUGACAGUAGAGAUUGUCUACCCUCGAUUUUCCCCCAGAAAAACUUUCAUCUGACCCAAAAAUGGAAUGUACCAAGUCAAUAUUAAUGUGAAAGUUUAGAAAGGGUGACGUGAUGCUACUUUCUGCUGGCACUUGAAUGGUGUCUAUUUUAGCACUAAGCUAACAGUAGUAGUAUUUGUAGUUUUCUAGUUGUGUUCAAGAAAUAAUCAAAUGCACUACAAUGUAUAUAUUGAAUGAUCACAAUUCAGUGCCAUUGACAGCCAAUCCAAUUUGACCGGGAGGGUGUUGGGCAGCCCUCCCGGUUUCAUGGAUUGGACAUCUUUUGGCAGAUUUAGUUAGUAAAGUGUACGUUUAGCCAAUUGCACUGUUGCAAUUGUUUAAAUAAAAGGAACGGAAUGAGAAGCCAGAAUGGUUUAAUGUUGAUGAUCAUAACGGUUCCUAAUGGGUUAUUUUAUAAACUGGCAAAUACACACUGAUUGGAUGUCUAUUGUGUCAAUUAGUCCGUUUGUACGGAGAGGGGCCUGCAGCCCUCCCCGGUGUUGCAUGUUUGGUACCAAACCAAGCAUUUGUAUUACUACGCCCUUUUUUUUGGCACUUGAUGUGUUACGAAUGCGAAUCCUAAAUGCGA